UGCCCUGCUGGUCGGUGGGCUGAGCCACCGUAACGCUGCGGUGAGGAGCUGCACUGCUCAGCACCUGGAGAGACUGGCUGAGGUCAUGGGGAUGGCUCGUCUCCUGUCGGGGAAGAAAGACCUCACUGACCGUUUCUUGAUUGCCAGGUGUAUGGUGUUUUCUCCGACACAUUGGUGCAGCUGGCUUCCAGGUUAAGCGGGCUUUGUGUCAAGAAGUAGUACGGCUUGGCUGGGUUGUGUUUCGCAGGACGCACGGCUCUCGACCCUCUUGCAAAUUCGACCUAAUGCAUCAUGGUCGCAAUAUCUUGAGAAACGUGGCCCCCAAUGGCGACUUUGCUAAAAUGUGGGACAAAUUCGCUCCGAGGAAAGAGCGAGAAUCCUUGAGGGAGGUCAUCUCAAAGGUUAACCUCAAAGAAAGGAAUAUCUGAAUAAUCCCCAACUUGACUAUAUGUUUGUAUCUAAAUAUUUGCACAUUUCCCAACUUGACUAUUAUCGCCUCCAGUCCCCAAACUCUAAUAUUUUCGCUCAUUCUAAGAAAUUUGACACUAUCAUCCAAACCCCCAUGUAAAUGCAUCUUUAAGCUGCAUCGACUCCCUGUCCAAGUCCUGAAUUCACUAUAAGGCAAUAUGAACCACAUUCAAAGCACUAAAUGACCUUUCCUCGAAGCUCCUAUCUGAUCUACCAGCUCAAUAGUGGUCUACUGAAACCAUACUCACC
Molecule: long non-coding RNA, 717 nt
Filed under: Salmo salar (Atlantic salmon)
Lineage: Eukaryota; Metazoa; Chordata; Actinopteri; Salmoniformes; Salmonidae
Description: lncRNA (ENSSSAG00000091960.1)
Source: RNAcentral